AUUACUUUAUUCUAAACUACUGUACAUCAACAGUACUUGAACUUUGGGUUCUUGGACUAGUACAACCUGAGUUCAGUGACAUUUCCCCUUGAAAUCUGUAUUUUAUUAGACCAAGGCUCAACUGCAGAGUAUGUGUCUAGUUUAUGUUGUUAUUAUGGGUUCAGUAAUUGUCUUCAUCUUGUGAAGGGAUACCGAAUGUACAAGACUUUGUCUUGAAAACAUUCUAAAGUGUGAAAGAAAUGUAGAUAGAAUUUCAAAAAUUUCCUAGCAAAUAUUAAUUUUCAAGUCAAACCAACUUUAGAUGCAAAAAUGGUUAAUGGCAAUCAUCAAUUAUAUAUUUUGGUUAGUUAAUAUUGUUUUAUACUUUGAAAUACGGAUACAUAGCAAAAUCCCAAAGAAAAAGAAUCCCAAGUCAAUACUCUUUUGAUAUUUUUAUAACACAAAAAAAUUUGCUUCUUGAUAUUAGUUCUUUGUUAUAACUAGAUGCCAGUAUGACCUUCAUAUGAAUCUUUUAAAGUUUCCCUCCAUCAGUAGGAAAAACAAAAAAGACCUACCAGUUAGUUAAUAAUGCUUCAGAAUUCUUAAAAUUUUAAUACCAGAAUCUUUGUGCUUCUCAUCUCUCUCUCUCUCUCUCUCUCUCUCUCACACACACACACACACACACACACACAGAAUUACUUUUAUUGGAAACAAUUUAUUUUUCAAUUAUCCAUUGUGCAUAUCAUUAUUACUCAAAAAAGUGAAACAUUAUGUAGAUAAAAUAUAUAAAAUUCUAAUUUCAUACAAUUUACUGAAUGUAUACCAGAGAAAGAGUUGAAAGUAGAAGAGACCAGAAAGACUAAUAUUAGAUAUGACUGUUUAUUCUUAUUAACAUUGGUCCAUAUCAAGUGAAUGCAAAUAUAUUAAUAUAUGACCACCCAGUUUUCAAGAUACUCAAUCCCAUUGUUCUUCUUACUGCAAAGCUGUUUUUAGGUUUGAUACUUGCUGUUUAAGCAACAAGUCGAUUGACUUCUGUUUAGCAACUUUGAGUUAAAAAAUAAGGUAAUAAAUACUUGUGGGGAAAUAGGUUGAAAACAAUAGUUUAAAUGAAAUCUCUCCUCCAUUGGAGAAUUAGUAUCCUAGUUCUGUCAAGAAUGAAGGUCACUUUUCACCCUUGGCAGACACACUCUGGAAGUGCCCUGAUAAAAGAAAUUCCCUGGCACACUAAAUCUUUGAGUACAGAGAGCAGGCAGCACCAACAUAAUCCCCAAUGUUACAUAAUUUCUAACAACAUGAAAAAUUUAAACCUGUUAUAUUUUAAAAGAAGUUCUGGAGAGAGCUAAAAUUUCUAGUGAAAUUUUUCUUAAGAGGAAAAUAAAUAACCUAAAAGCAAUUUUUAUAACCAGGUUUGGUCCCAUGUUACUAUAAAAACAAUUCUACAGAUGCUUCUUAUCUCAAAAGCACUCAAUAUUUGAAUGUUAUUAGAAACUCUCAUGACAUUUUAGGUGUAGAAUGUGUAGACCCAUAGCCCCAGUUUUCUGAAUCCAGCCAUUCUCUUCCUCUCAAUCUCAGCUAUCCACCUGAUCACAAUGCAGUAGUUCAUAGCUCCAUGAAGGAGAACCUUCCUCUCAAGAGAGUCUAAACAGUGUUCACCUAAUAGAGCAUAAAAUAGAUUCCUGCACAGUUAGCAAUCUACAAAGUCUGACUAAAAAGAACCAAAGCAUCCCCUGAGAGCAUACCAAUGCUCAUUUCUCUGCAUAAUUCACAUACUCCACAUCAGUCUCAACUCCUGAGAUGAGCCUUGUCAGUCCACAAUAUAGGAGAGACACAUGCACCUUGCUCAGGUGCAGAGCUCAGGGGCUUUCAGAGCAUAUACGUGUUUACUUUGGGGAAAAAAGUAGAGGAGGGGUAAGGGGCGGGGAAUGAGGAGAUUAUGGGCAUCCUCUUUAACCACUCUCCCUCACCAGGAUGAUUGGUUAUGGAGGACAUGUGGGGCACACAGACCCAAGACUGUUCCACAGAGCCUGCCCCUUGCCCUACAGUAGAAUUGGUGGAUAUUUUGAGUGGAAGUUAUCUGAGUGGUCUGCAUUCCGAAGGUGCUAAUGUGCUCCUCACUUUAGAAAUACUCAAAAUUUGAGGAGAUGACAGUUCCAUGCUUGGACAAGAAUUGCAAAUUUUUGACCACUGUGGAUCAAACUUAAAACUGUGACUAUCUCUCUCAAGCCACAUUCUGGGUGAGGGGGAUAAAGAAAAACUUACAAAGGCAUUUUACACGUUAAUAAAAUUAGAUCAAAAUGCCUCUUCAGAAAUUAAAAGGUUCCAACACCACAGGCCAGAAGACUCUCCAGAUACUGGACAGAGAAAGACACUGUUAAUAUAAUUUACUGUGGACUCAGCCAAAACUGCCCCCAAUUUACCCAAAAUAUGCCUUAAAAUAAAACAAAGCUCAAAUAUGCAUCUUGUAAGAUUUUCCAUUUCCUGCAGUCAGCUAUAUUUCAUUCCAGGUUUUAUUUCUCUUUUAUGCUUAGAUGAGAAGAGGACUUCAUUUCUUUAUAUGACAAACAGUUUUAUCCUCAACUUUAUAUCAAAUCAGUUCAAUUAAAAAGUUUCUGUGGAUUCUUCAAUUGAGGAAAUGCUUGCCCUGGAUCACAAGCAUUUUCAUAUGCUACAUACGGGAAAUUGGGGCCAAUCUGAAAGUCAGCAACCUAGUCCUUGUGAUGAGGCUGUGAAUGUCCAUAGAGAAUCUUCACACCAACUCAUUUGAACAGGCAACAGCCUGCUGCAGUAAAAAUUAGUUGUGAGGCAAGUUGCUUCACAGCUCUGCAAAAUGUCACGCUCUGGAAACAAUGGAGGAGGGAGACCAGUAACCCCAUUUCCAUUGACUACUGUUUGCCACAACUGGCAAGCAACGGGCCACUCUAUCCAAAGGGCUAGAAUACAACACAGACAAACCUCUACUUCCUCAGUCAUUUUAAUCUUGGCUGCCAAACUGAACACUUUUGUGUUUUCCUUUGAGAAUGAAAAAAUAAUAACUGGUCUCCAACCAUUAUUCUUACAACCUUAUAAAUUCAAUGUUUUCAAGGCACCAAGCAUUUCAAAUCCACUCUGUGAUCUUGCAAAAGUUUAUAAGCUUUUUUCAGAGAGUUUAUAAGCUGUAUACAUAUGAGAUUUCACCUUCAAUUUAUAUUAAAAAUAGUGAAUGACCUGAGACAAACAUAAUCUCAUGUAAAUACAUACAUGUUCAAAUGUUAAACUCCAUCUGUGUUUCUAAACUGUCCAUUUUGGGCUUCAGAACACUACCUUUUAAAAAUAUUAUUCAGAGAUGUGUUUGGAAACAAGGGGGUAAAGAACCAGAUUGUGAAUACAUUGUAAAUGUUCAAUUCAUAAUUUUCUGCUGGUUCUCUUUCAAAUUUCCUAAAUUAGAAAGUGUAUAAUCUGUACAUAUUUCUUUUUCUCAGUUUGGCCUGUAGGAAGCAGUUAGGUUUAAAGAGGUUAGAAGUACCUCCAUCUUUGUUAUCUGUAUAAUCAAACCCAAAGGACUAAAAACUAACAGUUCAAGAUAAAUGAUAAAUUUCAUCUCUGACUUAUCUUUUAAUAUAAAAAAUAGAUUUCUAUGAUUACAGGGACAAAAAAAAUGUAUGUCCUUAGAUGGUAGGGUAACAGCUUAGCCAUUCUUUACUUCUGUAAAAAUAAAAAGUUGUUUUGUUCUGUUUUUAA
This 3696-nucleotide long non-coding RNA is filed under the name Marmota monax (woodchuck). Lineage: Eukaryota; Metazoa; Chordata; Mammalia; Rodentia; Sciuridae. The record is from RNAcentral.